This 373-nucleotide ribosomal RNA is filed under the name uncultured organism. RNAcentral describes it as "partial 16S ribosomal RNA". It matches the Rfam family "Bacterial small subunit ribosomal RNA", at positions 527 to 896 of the family's 1533-position model. The record is from RNAcentral.
GUAGGUGGCAAGCGUUGUCCGGAAUUAUUGGGCGUAAAGCGCGCGCAGGCGGUUCUUUAAGUCUGAUGUGAAAGCCCACGGCUCAACCGUGGAGGGUCAUUGGAAACUGGAGAACUUGAGUACAGAAGAGGAAAGCGGAAUUCCACGUGUAGCGGUGAAAUGCGUAGAGAUGUGGAGGAACACCAGUGGCGAAGGCGGCCUUCUGGUCUGUAACUGACGCUGAGGCGCGAAAGCGUGGGGAGCAAACAGGGAUUAGAUACCCUGGUAGUCCACGCCGUAAACGAUGAGUGCUAAGUGUUAGGGGGUUUCCCGCCCCUUAGUGCUGCAGCUAACGCAUUAAGCACUCCGCCUGGGGAGUACGGCCGCAAGGCUG